Molecule: ribosomal RNA, 678 nt
Filed under: Paenibacillus polymyxa
Lineage: Bacteria; Bacillati; Bacillota; Bacilli; Caryophanales; Paenibacillaceae
Also listed under: 3 other names
Description: partial 23S ribosomal RNA
Rfam family: Bacterial large subunit ribosomal RNA
Source: RNAcentral
CCGGUGCGAGGACAGUGUCAGGUGGGCAGUUUGACUGGGGCGGUCGCCUCCUAAAGAGUAACGGAGGCGCCCCAAGGUUCCCUCAGAAUGGUUGGAAAUCAUUCGAAGAGUGCAAAGGCAGAAGGGAGCUUGACUGCGAGACCUACAAGUCGAGCAGGGACGAAAGUCGGGCUUAGUGAUCCGGUGGUACCGCAUGGAAGGGCCAUCGCUCAACGGAUAAAAGCUACCCUGGGGAUAACAGGCUUAUCUCCCCCAAGAGUCCACAUCGACGGGGAGGUUUGGCACCUCGAUGUCGGCUCAUCGCAUCCUGGGGCUGAAGUAGGUCCCAAGGGUUGGGCUGUUCGCCCAUUAAAGCGGUACGCGAGCUGGGUUCAGAACGUCGUGAGACAGUUCGGUCCCUAUCUGUCGUGGGCGUAGGAAAUUUGAGAGGAGCUGUCCUUAGUACGAGAGGACCGGGAUGGACGUACCGCUGGUGUACCAGUUGUUCCGCCAGGAGCACCGCUGGGUAGCUAUGUACGGAAGGGAUAAGCGCUGAAAGCAUCUAAGCGUGAAGCCCCCCUCAAGAUGAGAUUUCCCAGUAUGUAAGACCCCUUGAAGACGACGAGGUAGAUAGGUUGGGGGUGGAAGUGCAGUAAUGCAUGGAGCUGACCAAUACUAAUCGGUCGAGGGCUUAUCCUA